GAUGGACGCUGGCGGCGUGCCUAAUACAUGCAAGUCGAGCGAACGGACGAGAAGCUUGCUUCUCUGAUGUUAGCGGCGGACGGGUGAGUAACACGUGGAUAACCUACCUAUAAGACUGGGAUAACUUCGGGAAACCGGAGCUAAUACCGGAUAAUAUUUUGAACCGCAUGGUUCAAAAGUGAAAGACGGUCUUGCUGUCACUUAUAGAUGGAUCCGCGCUGCAUUAGCUAGUUGGUAAGGUAACGGCUUACCAAGGCAACGAUGCAUAGCCGACCUGAGAGGGUGAUCGGCCACACUGGAACUGAGACACGGUCCAGACUCCUACGGGAGGCAGCAGUAGGGAAUCUUCCGCAAUGGGCGAAAGCCUGACGGAGCAACGCCGCGUGAGUGAUGAAGGUCUUCGGAUCGUAAAACUCUGUUAUUAGGGAAGAACAUAUGUGUAAGUAACUGUGCACAUCUUGACGGUACCUAAUCAGAAAGCCACGGCUAACUACGUGCCAGCAGCCGCGGUAAUACGUAGGUGGCAAGCGUUAUCCGGAAUUAUUGGGCGUAAAGCGCGCGUAGGCGGUUUUUUAAGUCUGAUGUGAAAGCCCACGGCUCAACCGUGGAGGGUCAUUGGAAACUGGAAAACUUGAGUGCAGAAGAGGAAAGUGGAAUUCCAUGUGUAGCGGUGAAAUGCGCAGAGAUAUGGAGGAACACCAGUGGCGAAGGCGACUUUCUGGUCUGUAACUGACGCUGAUGUGCGAAAGCGUGGGGAUCAAACAGGAUUAGAUACCCUGGUAGUCCACGCCGUAAACGAUGAGUGCUAAGUGUUAGGGGGUUUCCGCCCCUUAGUGCUGCAGCUAACGCAUUAAGCACUCCGCCUGGGGAGUACGACCGCAAGGUUGAAACUCAAAGGAAUUGACGGGGACCCGCACAAGCGGUGGAGCAUGUGGUUUAAUUCGAAGCAACGCGAAGAACCUUACCAAAUCUUGACAUCCUUUGACAACUCUAGAGAUAGAGCCUUCCCCUUCGGGGGACAAAGUGACAGGUGGUGCAUGGUUGUCGUCAGCUCGUGUCGUGAGAUGUUGGGUUAAGUCCCGCAACGAGCGCAACCCUUAAGCUUAGUUGCCAUCAUUAAGUUGGGCACUCUAAGUUGACUGCCGGUGACAAACCGGAGGAAGGUGGGGAUGACGUCAAAUCAUCAUGCCCCUUAUGAUUUGGGCUACACACGUGCUACAAUGGACAAUACAAAGGGCAGCGAAACCGCGAGGUCAAGCAAAUCCCAUAAAGUUGUUCUCAGUUCGGAUUGUAGUCUGCAACUCGACUACAUGAAGCUGGAAUCGCUAGUAAUCGUAGAUCAGCAUGCUACGGUGAAUACGUUCCCGGGUCU
Molecule: ribosomal RNA, 1372 nt
Filed under: uncultured bacterium
Lineage: Bacteria
Description: bacterial SSU rRNA
Rfam family: Bacterial small subunit ribosomal RNA
Source: RNAcentral